UACGGAGGGAGCUAGCGUUGUUCGGAUAUACUGGGCGUAAAGCGCACGUAGGCGGCGCCGUAAGUCAGGGGUGAAAUCCCGGAGCUCAACUCCGGAACUGCCCUUGAAACUGCAGUGCUAGAAUCCUGGAGAGGCGAGUGGAAUUCCGAGUGUAGAGGUGAAAUUCGUAGAUAUUCGGAGGAACACCAGUGGCGAAGGCGGCUCACUGGUCCGGUACUGACGCUGAGGUGCGAAAGCGUGGGGAGCAAACAGG
Molecule: ribosomal RNA, 253 nt
Filed under: uncultured bacterium
Lineage: Bacteria
Description: partial 16S ribosomal RNA
Rfam family: Bacterial small subunit ribosomal RNA
Source: RNAcentral